This 109-nucleotide non-coding RNA is filed under the name uncultured Streptococcus sp. Its description in RNAcentral is "preQ1-II (pre queuosine) riboswitch". It matches the Rfam family "PreQ1-II (pre queuosine) riboswitch aptamer". From Rfam's summary of the family: Q is a hyper modified nucleoside present in some anticodons in tRNAs (Try, Asn, Asp and His). Lineage: Bacteria; Bacillati; Bacillota; Bacilli; Lactobacillales; Streptococcaceae. The record is from RNAcentral.
AUGUUAUACUAGAAAAGUUGCCUAGCAACCCUUGGUGCUUAGUUCCUUUCGCCAAGCAUAUUACACACGCUGGAUUGAUGGCAAUCAAUCUGAGACGUCAAAGGAGAUU